GUCAACACCGUUGGUGAGUUCAUUGACUUCCCUAUCCAGAUUAGUGAUAGUGACUCUGACUCAGUCACUAGUCCUGCAACGCAUAUAGACUCCAGUUCGACUAGUUCUGACUCCAGUCUUUCUUCAGCUUCCUUGCCUUUGCAGGAUCCAAGGGGACCAGUGGGUGUCAACACCAACAAGAAACCAUCUUCUCAGACUACUCCUCUGUCAACU
Molecule: long non-coding RNA, 213 nt
Filed under: Lathyrus oleraceus (garden pea)
Lineage: Eukaryota; Viridiplantae; Streptophyta; Magnoliopsida; Fabales; Fabaceae
Description: Pisum sativum (pea) long non-coding RNA (PSAT_LNC008177)
Source: RNAcentral